AAAAAAAAAAAAAAAAAAAAAAAAAAAAACAGGGGAUGGGGGUAUUUCAUGCUGCAAACAAAAGCUACAUGCAAGGUUCAAAAUUUUGAUACUUCUGUGUACACUGUGCAUACAAAAAAGAAGAAUAUGAGUUGCACAUUUUGCUGCCAUAAACUGAGACGGUAAUGAUUGUGGUGAAGCUGUGUUCUAGUCUCUAUCAAACUGACCUUCACAUUGAAGUGUAAACAAAUUAGCUGCUUUUAUUUCUCCAAAAGUUCAGUUCAUCGGUCUAGUCCACGUUAAUGAUCUGAGUUGCUAGGUACUGGUUUGAACGAGGCAGAGCAGUUAUCUGUCUCUCAAAAUUCACUAAUAAUACAAGGGACGGAUGCUGCAUAAACGUUACGCCUAAGAAUUGAACCAUGACACAUGAUGAGUUGAAACAAAAAUAAAACAUAUGGUGUCAGAAGCACAUAAUCUUCUCCAUUGAUUAGUUUUGAAAUAGCUGCGUUUCAGUUUUGAUAUAGUCAAGCAACAGUAGAAAACAUAACUAAACUCCUCCAACAGUAGAAAACAUAAACAAUCAAGCAAUCUCCACUGGAAGAACUAUGAUAAUAGCCUUAACAGAGACAUAUCAAGAGUUCAUAUUCAACAAAUAGCAAAUAUGUCCACCUGAGGAAUGAGGAUAUUUAUCACUACAAGAACAUCUAGAAGUUCUUAAUUAUUACAUGUAGUUUCCUAUAUCAAAAGAAAUUGUCUAUGCUUAUAAACAAUCUGCAUAAUAUAUAUUGCGUAUUACAUUGAAGAGCCAGUUGAGAAGUCACUUUCUUUUUUGGAGAAGAAUUGAGGAACCUCAUCUGGAUUGAAUUGGCGGUGAAACAAUCUGAUAGCAAGUGAAAUGCAAUUAGCAGAAAAUUAAUCAGCAAUAUAAUGCGUGUCUCCAUAAACACUACACUAUGGUACUUAUUUAAUUAGAAAUUAAUGCAAACCAAAAUGCAACACCAGAAUUUUAUAAAUCAAGUCAAAAAUAUAAACAACAAGUAUAAUAUAGGAUAUUUAACACAAAACUACCAUUUAAAAGUACAAAUGAUAAAAUAGUCUUCAAAUGUUCCACAUGAUAAAAAAGUCACCAUUAAAACAUGUUACAAGAUAAGAUGGUUAUCUCAAAACAUCUUAAAUGAUAAAAAGAUAUUUUUUCACUCUUUUUACGUGACAAUUCUACCCUCCUUUCUAAUUUAACCCUAAACCUUUUUAACGAUAAAAAUAUCUCUCUCCUCUCUCUCACACACACAGUCUCUUUCUCUCUCACCCUAAAUUCGCCGUCGUCGUCAUCAUGAUGCAACCAGGCUCCGGCGGGCGUGGCUCUGUCGGCAAUGGUCCAGCAGCAGCAACCCCCCCUGCGCCCAUCCCUGCAACCAGGCUCCGGCGUGGCUCCGUCGCCAAUGGACCAGCAGUACGGCCAGCAGCAGCAGCCGCCCCUCGCCGCCCAGCCCUGCAACCAGGCUCCGGCGUGGCUCCGUCGGUAAUGGUCCAGCAGUACGGCCAACAGCAGCAGCAGCCGCCCCCCCGCCGCCUAGCCCUACAUGAUGAUGUCGCCGUCGCUACCCACCGUGCAGCCUCCUCCGGCGAUGUGGGCCCCUCAGUUGCACGUGACCCCACCUCCACCUUAGGUCCAGCCCGCCAGCGCUGAUGUGGUCCGCACUCUCUGGAUCGGCGACUUGCAGUACUGGAUGGAAGAGGCCUAUCUUUUCAAUAUCUUCGCCAGCACUGGCGAGGUUUGAUUCUUCUUCUUCUUUUGCUUCAAUUUCGUUCAAAGAUUCAAUUUCGUUCAGUUGUGAUUUUAUAAUGUUGAUACAAUAACUGUUGGAUUGAGUAGAAAGUAUGAGAUGAGUUCGUAAUGCUUUGACGACAAUACGAUGGUAUUUCUAGUUGUUAGGUAAUGGCUUAGAUUGUUUGUAACUCAAUGCAAUCUCAAUGCAAUGGCGUAUCUGAGGUUUUACUUGGUGGUGCACCAUUGAGAAUAUAGGGUUGAGCAGAGAAAAAUCCAACGACAAUUUUACAGAUAUCUUGGAUAAUUUUCAAAUUUUGAUUUUCAGAUGCACUUUCUGUGUUUUGAUUUUAGUGAUGAUGAUGAGUGUUCUGAAUUGGUUUGUUUGUGAAUUUUCUGAAAGAAUUGAGGUGCCUCUAUGGCUUGGUUAGGUGUAAUAGGUAGAAAAUUGUGUGUGUACAAAAGAAUAGUAGCUUGGUCUGCUUAAUUUUGCUGCUAUGAUCAUUUGCUAGUGGAGCUGCUUGCGUCUGUUUUUGAAUUUCGGUUUAGCAGCUGACCUGCUAACUUUCGGUUGAGCUCAAGUCUGCCUUAUGAUCUCGAUCAAAGGUUGUGUUGUGUGCUUGCUUGAUUGAAUUUUGAAAGCAGUAAAGCAAUAGUUUUAAGAAAGAAUCCCCACCUGACUUGUUUGUAAUGUCUACAUUCGGUUUAUUGGAGGAUGUGGUCGUUCUUUGAUGCUUGAAAUUAGUGAUACGUAGAGAGGUGGUGAGAGGGGAGAACGCUUUCUGAAUUUUUAUCUGUGAAUAAUUUUACGCAACUAACUUUUAUCAAUUUGCUACAGACAUGAGAGGAAAAAAGAGAUCGAAAACGGAAGCAAAAAAAUGAACCUUCUAACUAUGAAGAACAAGGCAACUUGGUAUGUCUUUGAUUUGGUUUUUUUGUUAUACAUUUUUAUGGUUUGUCAAUUGAACAUGCAAUACAGUAGCUGGUACUUGUGGUGGGGUUGGGGUUGGGGGGAUGUCUGGUGGUAUGCUAAUUUUUCAGCCGUCUAUGAGAAAGUAUGAAUGUAACUGAUAAUGUACCUAUUAAGUAGUUGGUAUGUAGCUAUUAAGAAACUUCCUCUGGUAUGUACAUAUUGAGCUGUGAAAUUGUCUAAUUAGUUCGUUCAGUUGUUCCCUUUGGGUCUUAUUGGUUAGUUUUGCUUUGGGUAUUGGGUUUAUUUUAUGUUUGUUGUUUUAGAAUAGCUGUAUCUUUUCUUCUGUUGAACUGUGUUGUUGUAUUUAAUAUUGCAUUCGGACUGUUAUUUCGCACGUAUGUAACUUGUCACAUCCCGACCCUUAUAUUUUUACCUUAUUUACUAGCGUGAUUAUAAUAAGAAUUUUACCGUCUCGAUCAUUGAGUAAACAGUUUAAUUGGUCCCUAGAGGGGUUUCGGGGACGAUUAUGAGCGGAGGAUUAUUAGUAUGAGGGAAAUACGACGACGGUAAAAAUGGUAAAUUUUAGCUAGUAAAAGGUAAUUUUUAUUCGGGUAUUAUUUUUCGGGGUGUUUUAUUUUUGGAAUUUGGGUUGAUAUAGGUUGGACCGGUUUGGGGUGUGAGGCCCAAACCCACUUUUUUUUUUCCUCCCGAUUUUCUCUCCUCACCCCUCCCGCUGCCCAGUUUUCCGGCCGUCCUCCCGCCGCCGUCCGGCCACCAACCGCCGCCGCACCGGUCCCGUUCGGUUGACCUCCAACCCAGCAACCUCCCUGGACCGGUGAGAGGAGCCCUAGCUCCGCCGUGAGAGAGCGGUGCCACCCGAAAGGUCCGACUGUCCAAAGCUUCN
Molecule: long non-coding RNA, 3561 nt
Filed under: Fragaria vesca (wild strawberry)
Lineage: Eukaryota; Viridiplantae; Streptophyta; Magnoliopsida; Rosales; Rosaceae
Description: long non-coding RNA (FVES_LNC001427)
Source: RNAcentral